GGCGAGCCUUCCCGCAUGGUGCAGUGGCCAACCGGGUCAGAUGGGGAACCAAGCAGCCCUAACCAUCAAGCCAGUGACGGGGUUAAGGCUCGCCACC
RNAcentral lists this signal recognition particle RNA (97 nucleotides) under Pseudomonadota bacterium. RNAcentral describes it as "Proteobacteria bacterium signal recognition particle sRNA small type". It matches the Rfam family "Bacterial small signal recognition particle RNA". Rfam says of the family: The signal recognition particle (SRP) is a universally conserved ribonucleoprotein involved in the co-translational targeting of proteins to membranes. Archaeal SRP consists of a 7S RNA and homologues of the eukaryotic SRP19 and SRP54 proteins. Lineage: Bacteria; Pseudomonadati; Pseudomonadota. RNAcentral also lists the same sequence under 2 other names. The record is from RNAcentral.